GCAUCUGGAUCUUCCCCACUCCUUGUGAUGUAAGUGCUGGACUGGAGACACACACGAUGCAAGAGGAGAGCAGAGGAAAUCCAGACAAGAUCCCUUUCACCACAGUGGGACUUGUCUCUACACCUUUGCAACAUGU
This 136-nucleotide small nucleolar RNA is filed under the name Merops nubicus (carmine bee-eater). RNAcentral describes it as "Small nucleolar RNA SNORA55". It matches the Rfam family "Small nucleolar RNA SNORA55". From Rfam's summary of the family: ACA55 is a member of the H/ACA class of snoRNA that guide the sites of modification of uridines to pseudouridines. Lineage: Eukaryota; Metazoa; Chordata; Aves; Coraciiformes; Meropidae. The record is from Rfam by way of RNAcentral.